Long non-coding RNA from Aethina tumida (small hive beetle), 469 nucleotides. RefSeq lists it as uncharacterized. The transcript is spliced from 2 exons. NCBI's taxonomy places the organism in Eukaryota, Metazoa, Arthropoda, Insecta, Coleoptera, Nitidulidae. The record is from RefSeq and is a predicted model, not a curated record.
UAGAGCGACAAGCUUUUAUAGAUAGUUUAUAUAUAGUAACAAUAAUACAUAAUCUGUUGUUCACAUCAACAUACUGAUAUUUUUUUUCUGACAAGUUUCCUGUUAAAUUGUCUGAUACAUUUACUGUCAAAUAGCUUAUGAAUUAUAUUUUAGAUAAAAUGGAUCAAGAAAACUAUAUAAUAAAUGCACAAGAAGUAGCAAAAGUUGUCGAAACUAAAACAAAAUUAAAUAGACGCUAUUUUAGAGAAGGUGGCAUUGUGUCUACAAGGAAAUUAGAGACGAUCCCCAUCAGAUUUCACGUAAGAAAAACUUGCAUCCCUAAUUCAGUCAAAGUGCCAGCCUCCCUUUUACCUCAAGGUAUCUCAGAUAUCCUGCCUUAAAGAAAUUUCCAUUAGCUACCAUGUAUCAAAAAUAAAAAUUUCCUUUAUAAUAAAUGUAAUUUAAUAUAAUAAAAUGUGUUUACUCUGUA